Molecule: long non-coding RNA, 243 nt
Filed under: Homo sapiens (human)
Lineage: Eukaryota; Metazoa; Chordata; Mammalia; Primates; Hominidae
Description: LHRI_LNC1195.1
Source: RNAcentral
CCUAGCUGAGGACAGGCACUCCUGCCUUCCACCUAAAUUUUGCAUUUCCCGAGACACCUUGGCCCGCCAUUCCCCCGUCCUGUGCCUGUAAAAACUCCAGGCCCUAGAAGGCACACACGCACAAGUGGCUGGACUUCGUGAGGAAUUCAUAGGGGAAGAAGAUGCAAGUGGCUGGUCAUGGAGAGGACUUUUUGACGAGCGCCGGCAAAAGAGCACAGCGAAGAAAUCCCAGGAUACGGAAAG